AUACGUAGGGGGCGAGCGUUGUCCGGAAUGAUUGGGCGUAAAGGGCGCGUAGGCGGCUCGGUAAGUCUGGAGUGAAAGUCCUGUUUUUAAGAUGGGAAUUGCUUUGGAUACUGUCGGGCUUGAGUGCAGGAGAGGUAAGUGGAAUUCCCAGUGUAGCGGUGAAAUGCGUAGAGAUUGGGAGGAACACCAGUGGCGAAGGCGACUUACUGGACUGUAACUGACGCUGAGGCGCGAAAGUGUGGGGAGCAAACAGGAUUAGAUACCCUGGUAGUCCACACUGUAAACGAUGAAUGCUAGGUGUAGGGGGUAUCGACCCCUUCUGUGCCGCAGUCAACACAAUAAGCAUUCCGCCUGGGGAGUACGGCCGCAAGGUUGAAACUCAAAGGAAUUGACGGGG
This 397-nucleotide ribosomal RNA is filed under the name uncultured bacterium. RNAcentral's name for it is "partial 16S ribosomal RNA". It matches the Rfam family "Bacterial small subunit ribosomal RNA", at positions 523 to 918 of the family's 1533-position model. The record is from RNAcentral.